RNAcentral lists this long non-coding RNA (431 nucleotides) under Vigna radiata. Its description in RNAcentral is "long non-coding RNA (VRAD_LNC009946)". The record is from RNAcentral. Lineage: Eukaryota; Viridiplantae; Streptophyta; Magnoliopsida; Fabales; Fabaceae.
UGAAUUCAUAUUAUCACAUAAAUGGACGGGUAUACAAACAAUAAGAAAGCAUAACAAAACUCAGAGAUGAUUUCAUUUCUCCUCAAUAGAUAAUCAAAGAAACUAACACAACUAUUAAAUGUAUCAAAUACAGGUAUUACAAUCAAUUAAUUAUCAAAGUUCAUCAUUGGAUAUAAUCUUUAUGAAUAUUUGGGAAUUGGAAAUACCACUUUAAAGUGGCAGUAGCAGCAGUAAGGCACAAAUAAUACUCUUUGGUUUAACUAACAUACUCCUUUUUUAUUACUUGUAUUCUAUCAGUCAGCUCGUAUGCAAGGUGCCAAACAUCUUUUAUCCAUAAUCCAAUAUAAGUACAAAGUCAGAACAACUAACAUGCACACUAACUACAACAAAAUCUAUGUUAGGGUAAUCUAAAAAUCCACUAAGUUCUCUAA